Molecule: ribosomal RNA, 253 nt
Filed under: uncultured bacterium
Lineage: Bacteria
Description: partial 16S ribosomal RNA
Rfam family: Bacterial small subunit ribosomal RNA
Source: RNAcentral
UACGAACGGGACUAGCGUUGCUCGGAAUCACUGGGCGUAAAGCGCACAUAGGCUGAUUGGUCAGUUGGGGGCGAAAUCCCGGGGCUCAGCCUCGAAACUGCCUUCAAUACUGCCAGUCUUGAGUCCGAGAGAGGUGAGUGGAAUUCCUAGUGUAGAGGUGAAAUUCGUAGAUAUUAGGAAGAACACCAGUGGCGAAGGCGGCUCACUGGCUCGGUACUGUCGCUGAGGUGCGAAAGCGUGGGGAGCAAUCAGG